UACGUAGGGGGCAAGCGUUGUCCGGAUUUAUUGGGCGUAAAGAGCGUGUAGGCGGCCUGAAAGGUCAGCUGUGAAAACUCGAGGCUCAACCUCGAGACGUCGGUUGAAACCAUCUGGCUAGAGUCCGGAAGAGGAGUGUGGAAUUCCCGGUGUAGCGGUGAAAUGCGCAGAUAUCGGGAAGAACACCCAUGGCGAAGGCGGCACUCUGGGACGGUACUGACGCUGAGACGCGAAAGCGUGGGGAGCGAACAGG
This 253-nucleotide ribosomal RNA is filed under the name uncultured bacterium. RNAcentral describes it as "partial 16S ribosomal RNA". It matches the Rfam family "Bacterial small subunit ribosomal RNA", at positions 524 to 776 of the family's 1533-position model. The record is from RNAcentral.